RNAcentral lists this ribosomal RNA (516 nucleotides) under uncultured bacterium. RNAcentral's name for it is "bacterial SSU rRNA". It matches the Rfam family "Bacterial small subunit ribosomal RNA", at positions 10 to 518 of the family's 1533-position model. The record is from RNAcentral.
AGUUGAUUAUGGCUCAGGAUGAACGCUAGCUACAGGCUUAACACAUGCAAGUCGAGGGCAGCAUGAGAUUAGCUUGCUAAUCUUGAUGGCGACCGGCGCACGGGUGAGUAACGCGUAUCCAACCUUCCCCCUACUCAGGCAUAGCCCGGUGAAAACCGGAUUAACUCCUGAUAGUUUCACUAGAUGGCAUCUGACGGUGAAUAAAGCUCAGCGGUAAGGGAUGGGGAUGCGUCUGAUUAGCUUGUUGGCGGGGUAACGGCCCACCAAGGCGACGAUCAGUAGGGGUUCUGAGAGGAAGGUCCCCCACAUUGGAACUGAGACACGGUCCAAACUCCUACGGGAGGCAGCAGUGAGGAAUAUUGGUCAAUGGGCGCGAGCCUGAACCAGCCAAGUAGCGUGCAGGACGACGGCCCUAUGGGUUGUAAACUGCUUUUGUAUGGGAAUAAAGUCAGGGACGUGUCCCUGUUUGCAUGUACCAUAAGAAUAAGGACCGGCUAAUUCCGUGCCAGCCGCGGC